This 253-nucleotide ribosomal RNA is filed under the name uncultured bacterium. Its description in RNAcentral is "partial 16S ribosomal RNA". It matches the Rfam family "Bacterial small subunit ribosomal RNA", at positions 524 to 776 of the family's 1533-position model. The record is from RNAcentral.
UACAGAGGGUGCUAGCGUUGUUCGGAAUUAUUGGGCGUAAAGGGCGCGUAGGCGGUUUCGCAUGUCCGAUGUGAAAGCCCACCUCUUAAAGGUGGAAUUGCAUCGGAAACUGCGAGACUUGAGUGCCGGAGAGGGUGGUGGAAUUCCUGGUGUAGAGGUGAAAUUCGUAGAUAUCAGGAGGAACACCGGUGGCGAAGGCGGCCACCUGGACGGUAACUGACGCUGAGGCGCGAAAGCGUGGGGAGCAAACAGG